Molecule: non-coding RNA, 688 nt
Organism: Oryzias melastigma (Indian medaka)
Lineage: Eukaryota; Metazoa; Chordata; Actinopteri; Beloniformes; Adrianichthyidae
Source: the annotation of a RefSeq genome assembly
GUUCAGUGAUUCAAUCUGACAAAGAAGCUGCAGACAGAACAAAGACAAAUGACUCCAACAAUGAUCAGACCUGUUUGUUUGCUGCUUUUUCUCUUUUUCUUUGGUGUCUUACCUGGUAUCAGGGGUCAAACACUGACUGAGUCUGAAUCAGUGGUUAAAAGACCUGGAGAAUCCCACAAACUGACUUGUACAUAUUCAGGGUUUAGCAGUGAUCCCUCUAUAGCUUGGAUCAGACAGGCUGCAGGAAAAGGACUGGAAUGGAUCGCUUAUAUCAGCAGUGGCAGCAGCAGCAUCUACUACUCAGAGUCAGUGAAAAACCGCUUCACCAUCUCCAGAGACAACAGCAGAAAGCAGGUGUAUCUGCAGAUGAACAGUCUGAGAGCUGAGGAUUCUGCUGUUUAUUACUGCGCUCGAGAGUCACAGUGACUCAAGAGACACAAACUCUGUACAAAAACCACAUGAAGAAAAUAGCUGCAAGUCCAAGUGAACAAACAAUCCAGCAAGAGAACCCCAUGUGCAGCAGCAGAGCAAACUGAUUUUACUCAAUUUAUUUAAACUUUCCUGAUUUGUUUGAAAUCUCCUUUGUUUGACUUACAGUUUGUUGAUCUCUGCAGAGCUUGUUCAUCAAGCUAUCGAUAAUCCUGCAGCUGUCCACUUCUAAUCUUUUCUUCUGCCAGAAAAGAUCAAA